GACGUAGGGCGCGAGCGUUGUCCGGAUUUAUUGGGCGUAAAGAGCUCGUAGGCGGCUUGUCGUGUCGACUGUGAAAACCCGCGGCUCAACCGCGGGCCUGCAGCCGAUACGGGCAGGCUAGAGUUUGGGAGAGGGAUGCGGAAUUCCAGGUGUAGCGGUGAAAUGCGUAGAUAUCUGGAGGAACACCGGUGGCGAAGGCGGCAUCCUGGACCAAUACUGACGCUGAGGAGCGAAAGCCAGGGGAGCAAACGGG
RNAcentral lists this ribosomal RNA (253 nucleotides) under uncultured bacterium. RNAcentral's name for it is "partial 16S ribosomal RNA". It matches the Rfam family "Bacterial small subunit ribosomal RNA", at positions 524 to 776 of the family's 1533-position model. The record is from RNAcentral.